Polypterus senegalus (gray bichir) is the source of this 297-nucleotide long non-coding RNA. RefSeq lists it as uncharacterized. The transcript is spliced from 2 exons. The record is from RefSeq and is a predicted model, not a curated record. NCBI's taxonomy places the organism in Eukaryota, Metazoa, Chordata, Cladistia, Polypteriformes, Polypteridae.
UGCCCAGGUGUUGAACUUGGACCGACUGGUGUAGUAUACUGUGUUGUUUGUCCAGGUAUGGUAGUCUGACCUUGUGUUGGACCUGGUUUAGUUGUUUGUCCAGGAGUUGAACUUGGACCAACUGGUGUAGUAUACAAAGUUGUUUUUCCAGGUAUGGUUGUCUGAACUUCUGUUGUGCCAGGUUUGCUUGUUUGUCUAGUUGUGGUAGUCUGACCUUGUGUUGGACCUGGUUUAUUUGUUUGUCCAGGUGUUGAACUUGGACCGACUGGUGUAGUAUACUGAGUUGUUUGUCCAGGU